RNAcentral lists this ribosomal RNA (447 nucleotides) under uncultured bacterium. RNAcentral's name for it is "partial 16S ribosomal RNA". It matches the Rfam family "Bacterial small subunit ribosomal RNA", at positions 354 to 796 of the family's 1533-position model. The record is from RNAcentral.
GUUAAGAAUCUUGCGCAAUGGGGGGAACCCUGACGCAGCGACGCCGCGUGGAUGAUGAAGGCCUUCGGGUUGUAAAGUCCGGUAAGCAGGGAAGAAUAAGUGUGGGGUAAUAUUCCACAUGAUGACGGUACCUGCCUAAAGCCCCGGCUAACUACGUGCCAGCAGCCGCGGUAAUACGUAUGGGGCAAGCGUUGUUCGGAAUUAUUGGGCGUAAAGGGCGUCUAGGCGGGGGAUUAAGUUAGAUGUGAAAGCUAUGGGCUCAACCCAUAAAUUGCAUCUAAGACUGGUUCUCUUGAGUCCGGGAGAGGAGAGCGGAAUUCCAGGUGUAGCGGUGAAAUGCGUAGAUAUCUGGAAGAACACCAGUGGCGAAGGCGGCUCUCUGGCCUAGGACUGACGCUGAAGCGCGAAAGCGUGGGGAGCGAACAGGAUUAGAAACCCGGGUAGUCC